This 21-nucleotide non-coding RNA is filed under the name Caenorhabditis elegans. The record is from RNAcentral. Lineage: Eukaryota; Metazoa; Nematoda; Chromadorea; Rhabditida; Rhabditidae.
UACCAGAUUCAUCAUCAAAUU